CUUGACCCUGCCUUGGUCCUUUGUGAACUGACAGACAGAUCCACAGAAUGCUAUGGAUAGACACUACUACUGUCUUCUUGUCUGCUGAGUUCUCAGAUGUCUCUUUUGAGGGGUCUUCUGUGGGCAGAGCAUUUCGGGACAUCUCUAAUGUAAAAAAAUAUUUUCACAGGAAAAGCAGCCAGAGACUACCCCCUGAAACUGAGAGCUAGGACUUUUCAAGAAAAGAGCUUGUGGCAGGUCAGAGGGGGGAGUUGCAGGUCAGAAAAAGGAUAAGGUCUGACUGGCUUUGAAUGAAGAGAAAGAAAUAGAAAGGCACAGACAAGGAAAAGACGGUUCACCGCUGAACACACGGGGUGGGAGAGGCCACGAUCCUGUGGAACACUCCAUCCACUCCAGCAUUGCAGCGUUCACAAGCCGCACCUGGUACCUUGAGGAGCCUGAACUCAAUCAUCUCAUGGUUGCUGCUGCCCAAGUCACCAUCCACUUCUACAUUCAUUUAUGAGCAGGAGAUCAAGAAGAGUAUGGCUCCUCUCUAACACUUGCACCAUAGCAGAAACAGUCAAACCUUCCUUACCCUGCUGCAGAAAUGACCUGAACACUGACCUGAAGGGACCACCCUCUUGAGAGAUGAAAGGUCAUUCAGUUUCCAUGCAAGAUCUGCUCAGGGGAUCUCUUGAAGAGAGUGAGAGAGAUUGCAAAUCAUCCAAACUGUGCCAAAUUAUGUGUGAAGGUUUUGUAAUGCAGACUACUGUCCACUAGGGAUUAAAUUAAGACCAUCAAACCUAGCACACGGAGAAUCUCAUUUUAUACUUAAACUCUGCUUGUAGUGUUUUAUGUAGUACAUUGUAUCAGUCUCCUCUCGACAAAACAUCUAAUCACUAGAAAAUAUUUAAAUCAAUUAUGUAAUUUGUGGAGAUGAAUGUGUAACUCUAGAUAGAUAGAUAGAUAGAUAGAUAGAUAGAUAGAUAGAUAGAUAUCAUGGUUAAAAGCAUCUUGCAUUUAUUUCACUAGACAAUCAUAUGUGACUAAGGACACGUCUACAUAAGAUGCUAUGGCGACAUAGCUCGUCACCACAGAGAUGUAGCAUCAGCAGGCAUGAACCACACAUGCCAUGUGUAAUAAAGUACUGCGCAGUAGCUUGUUGCUACUGCACAGUAGGGUUCGAAACAACCCAUGUGCUCUCCCAGGUGGUUAUUCCACAGUCAUUUAGUAUUUGGUAAAGCAAGUACUAAAUGACUGCACAGUAACAACUGCGCAGGCGGGCACAUGUGUAGACGUGCCUUAAGACAACAAUUCCUAUUAAUUCAAGAAAUAAAUUUAUGCAUUGGAUUUCUAGACAUUGUUUUUUUUAUCUCUAACUAGCAGAAAAUAAUUUAGAUGUUAAGGUUGUGAUGUAAGUGUAUCAAACUAGAAAGUUCAGAGGAAAUUUGAAGCACUGUCCUUAAACCAAGCCUUGUUCCCAUAUUUUAGCUUACAUAUUAUUCUGUGCUUUAAUAUUCAGUGUUUUUCAUCCCGAGAGAAGACCCUUUUGGCUGCAAUAACUAGAAAGAAUGGGAUUUCUUACACUUCUGGUUCAUCUUUAAAUUAGUGAACAUCUUAUUUCCUAGUCUUAACUGACAGAAACAUAGACUCUGUUUCAAUAUUGUUUCAGCCAUGCAUAUUGUCUUUGUUUUAUACUUUAGAGAAUAUUUUUAAUAUGUUAUUUAAAAAAGAACAAUGCAAAGUGGGAAAAGAGACUAAAAUCUCUCAAGGAAGAGAAGAACAACUGAACGUUUUUCAAAUGCAUGCUCUUUGCCUGGUAGUCUUUGAUGUCUUCAUCAGAGCCCUAGAAUGUAUCAGCCAAAUUUUUGGAGCUCAGUUAUGCCUUAUGAAGCCAGGGGUGUACUGUGAGGAGUAUACUUACCUGAAAGUAGCAUUUCAUUUCUAAAAAGGGUGCUAGAAGAUAUGCAGGGUUGUCUGGUCUCAGCCUCAGCUCACCUGGUCACUUUUAGAUGGGGUGUUAAAAAACACUUUUUUGUGUUCAGUGCAGGAUGUGAAUUAAGGGGGAGCUCAGGGAGGAUGACUCCCCGCCCCCCUGUCCCCCCAGAGAUAACAGCCCCCCUAAAAGAUUUGAAAAUCAUAACCUGGGAGGGUCUCCAAUUGGAUUGGUCCUUCACCUAGGUCUCUGACAGGGCUCUGUGGGCUGGAUCCAGCCCAUUGGCUAUAUCUUUGAUACCCCUGGUAUAAAGUAAAUAGAACAUGUUAAUCAAUUAACCAGUUUAAUUUUUUUCACAGAUCCUUUUCCCCCAAGGGUUAAAGUGUAAUUCAAACCCUCGUUCAGUGGUACAGUGGUACUAUGAUAAGCAUUCUUGGCAGAUACAUGAGGGAGAAGGCAGAUAUACAAGACAGAGGUAUCCACCAUUCAACUGUUUUUAAAAAGCAUGUGACUGUGAAUUCUAAAAAUAUGCAGCAUGUCCCUGUCAAGCCACUUCUGGAGCUUCCUUUAAAUCAUUGUUCUCAGGCCUAUAGAUACUGACUGAAGAGAAAUGAUUACUAUUUAAGAGUUAUCACAGUCUGUCAGAGCACAUGGGAAUAGCAUUUGGUCUGGUAGAUCAGUGAACCAGGAAACUUGAGUUAGUGAGCCUACCACUAUCUCCUUCCUACCCUCAGAAUAAACAGCACAACUAAGCAGGGGCCAGUGGGGUGAGUAAAAAAAUAGCAGUUGCUGCUGGCAGUAGCACAGCCACUGAUGCUGCUUCAUGCACUUCAUGCUCAGCUACACCUCUGCUUAGAAUUAAUCUCUGAGUGCCUCAAUAUUCUCAUCUGUAAAAUGGGAAAUAAUGGUACAAUACUUUUGCAUUUGUAACAGAGGUUGAGGAAGCCAAAGCAUUAUCAUCUGUGCAGCUGUUCCCAGAACACUUAAAAUGUCACACUAACAUUUCCUCUCUUCCCUCAAAUUUUCUGAAUAAUUCUGGGUAUAAAAGCAGUUUUGGUCAACCCAAAAUCAUUCACAACUUCAUGUCAAGAGCACCAAAUAUUUUGGAUGGGGGAAAAAGGAAAUUGGGGAUAGAUUCUUGGACAAAUAAGCGCUGUUCCCAUGUUGUUCAAAUAGCUUAGGGGUUAAAGCAGGGGUACCAAACUCAUCCAGCUCUGUGGGUGAAAUGAGGGGCAUGGGUCAGAGGGGUCUGUGGGUCAGAGCGGGCUCACAGACCCGCCCCGCAUGCCAGAUUCUGCUGUCAGAGCAUAGAGGCAGUACUAGGGAGAUGGGUAGCCUUUGGGAAGGCAAUGGGAAUGUCCAGGAUUCUAGUCUGGGCUCUGCCUCUUGCUUCCUGUCUGACCUUAAACAAGUCACUCCAUCUGUCUGUGCCUAGCGCCCCACCCACCGAAAAAAAGAGACAUAUGGAAAUAUUUGGCAAGACAGUGAAAGUUAACAGGAAACUUAAUGAGAAAUGAAUAAGAAACUUUAAGUGAGGGAAGAAGGUCCCAGGAUUCUCAUGUGCUACCCUCACAGACUUUGCUCAUCCAUUUAGGUCACAGGAGGUAGUUUGCCUGUGCAUUUUAUUGCUACUUCCGGAGAGUAGAAUAUAGAGAAUACAGCACUUCUAUCUUCUCUAAGUCCAGGGGAAAGUAGUUAUGUCAUUAUUGUUUUGCAAGAGAAUAACAGAAAUAGUCAUCCUCCAAUGGAAUUCCCCCCUGAUUUAAUUAAUAAAUAUAUAAUCAGUUUUGAAUGCUUUCCUGUCUAAGGGAAUGUAGCUGGGCUACCUUUUAUGUUUUUGAGCUUUAACUGCUUUCUGCUUUAACUGGACACAUACAUAGCUAAUGCAGGGUUUAACAUCCUUAUCUGUCCACACCACCGUGACCUCAUGUGAGGUCCAGCCCUGAGGUGCUGUAUGCUAUUAACUUGAAUUGAAGUAAAUCGUCCCAUCCUGAAGGGUUCUGAACCCCUUGAAUUCCCAUUGCAAUCCAUGGCUCCUGAAGACUGUAAGAAGCUUACAGAAAUGGCUCAGCACCUUAUAGGAUCAUUAGGGCAUCCAUCUCUAAAUGACUCCACAAGUAGUUUUAUAGGACUCAUUAGCAAUGUGUUUGCGUACCUCAUAAACAGUGAAUUUACCCUCACACUUACCUAGUUAGAGAAGCAUGUAUUAUUCAUUAUCUUUUACAAAUGAGAAACUGAGGUACAGAGUGUGAGUGAAUUUUCUAGGGUCACAGGGUGAGUUUACUGUAAAGCCAGAAAUAAAGCCUAAUCUCCUGAGGUCUCCUUCUGUACAGUCAUCCACAAGAGCAACCUUCCCUCUUUACAGUUCCUUAACCGUCUACAAAUUCCUCUUAGGAAAAAAAGUAAAUAUGGGUAUUUUGAAGGCAAUCUGGAAGCAGAAGGAAACUGAAGAACAUCUGAUUUUUGGAGCAUCUGAAUGGCAGUAACCGAGGUUCAAUGUCUAAAGCAAGGGCAUCAAUCUCAACAAGUCCCAUGGCCUGGAUGAGGUGCACAGACUAAACGAGGCUUACAGACGAGCCCUACACACCAGAUCCAGCACACAGAUCAGUUUGGCACAGGCAUUAUGUGCAGCAUCAACUUUGGGUUGCCACAUGUAUCACAUGCAGCGUGUGCACCAGACUGACCCCACGCACUGCAUGCCACUUGCAGGGCUACAGCCGGCAUGUACUGCAUGUCGCAUGUAGGUCCAGUUUGAGACCCACAGACAGCACUGUGGGCCAAAUGACAGGGCUCUGUGAGCUGGAUCCAGCCCAUUGGCUAUAUCUUUGAUACCCCUGGUAUAAAGUAAAUAGAAAAUACUGAAAGAGUAGAAUGUUAUUGCAGAUAGAUAGCUAGACAGAUAGAUUAGAUUAGAAAACAAUGUUCCACCUCUCUAACAAAUAGCUCUCCACUAAGAUUAUUCACCAAAUACAUGGUAUUCACUAGUAUCACUGCCAUAGCGAUUUCAGUGUUUGAAUAUCAGUAGACUUGUGAAGUGUAGUCACUGAAAAUAUAUGUGGUAUGUUAGUGGGUGAAACAACAUCUCCUACAACAUGAUAUUAUGUCAUUAAAGCUCUUGAUACUUGUAUCAUCCUCUGUAUUGAUCUAUUGUGACUGUUUGUGACCUUGUAAGGCAGUAAAAUCCUGUAAUUUCAUAUGGCUAUGAACCCAAUCCUGCAUUUGGGCUCUGAUCCAAAGCCCACUGAAGUACAAGAGAGUCUUUCCAUUGAUUUCAGCAGAUUUUGAAGAGGCCCUUGUUUAAACAUCCAUAACUCUUGAAAAAACAUGAAACACCCUUAUAUAACAGGUAAUCCAUGUGAAAGAGUCACUGUUAAAAAAAAGUCUGCAUUUAUCAGUGGACACCAUACAAUUAUCAAAGUCAUCUCUUCCAGCUAUAGAGAUAGCUCUAGCAUCUCAAAUAUAACUCUGUGGGAACUGUGGGUUAGUGUUAACUUUUUAAUGGCAAUGGCAGUAACGUAGGUUAAUGGGAUCAUCUUUUUUCCCCCCUCAGAGAAUUGGUGGAUUCUUUCCAUUCAUUUAAAUUAUUUUUAGUAGCAAAUGAAAAAUUUGUGUCUUAGACCUGGAGAUGAUCUUAUCAACAUUCUAUGUAGACAUACUAUUGGUGACUAUCCCAUUAAAUUAAAAUCUGCAUCUCUCUGAUUUCUUCCUUCAGCAUCAAGUCUUACAAGGUUUUUAAGCAGAUAUUGGUGUGUUUUGCCUCAAAAGCCUGCUUUUCCUAGUGUGCACAGCUUUCCCCUGCAUUUCUGAGUGUCCUUCUAUUGGACUUGUGUGGGAAACUACAUUCCAUGAGUCAAGUCCUUGGAAGUCUGGGUGUGUUCAGAGAAGGGCAAUUAAUGCCAGUAUUUCAAAUCAGCUGUAUCUUAAAAAUAAUGGAAUUCAGGGUGUCUGAAAUCAUGAUCUCUUCAUGGAUGUAUGUUGGUGGUGGCAGGGUUUUUUAAGCUCAUCACUAAUGUACUGUAAUCCUUCCAUACUUUUCCUAUUCCCUGAUUAUUGCUGCCACUAGUAACCCUAGGGCUCAUAUAGGCUGCUGUAUGGCUUGCCCUUCAGGAUUAGCAGCUAGAACACGAUGGGAUAAGUUGAGUUUCUAUUCAAACCAAACUUAACUGGGCCAUCACAGUAAGCCCUGCAUGAUUACAAAGCUACUGGAUGGAGGAACAUGAGAGGAAAAGCACAGGGUUUACAUUGUGUUUCCUUUUUUGC
Molecule: long non-coding RNA, 6175 nt
Organism: Alligator mississippiensis (American alligator)
Lineage: Eukaryota; Metazoa; Chordata; Crocodylia; Alligatoridae
Exons: 4
Source: RefSeq, a predicted model, not a curated record